CUCCUUAUAUGAAGACAGUCUCUGCAGUGGCUCGCGGCGAGUCGCUGGUUCCGCCUCUCAUCCUUUAGAGUACUCUAGUUAUCGCAGCUCUGGCUCCAGAGCCUCCUCCAGGGCCAGUUCGGCCCGCGCCAGCCCAGUGGACAACUGCGGCUCUGUUGCCAGUUUUUUGAGGAGCGCGGCCAGUAGCAGUGGCCUCCCCCG
This is a long non-coding RNA of Chelmon rostratus (copperband butterflyfish), 201 nucleotides long. RefSeq lists it as uncharacterized. The record is from RefSeq and is a predicted model, not a curated record. The transcript is spliced from 3 exons. NCBI's taxonomy places the organism in Eukaryota, Metazoa, Chordata, Actinopteri, Chaetodontiformes, Chaetodontidae.